This 72-nucleotide transfer RNA is filed under the name Daldinia decipiens. Its description in RNAcentral is "tRNA-Cys". It matches the Rfam family "tRNA". From Rfam's summary of the family: Transfer RNA (tRNA) molecules are approximately 80 nucleotides in length. Lineage: Eukaryota; Fungi; Ascomycota; Sordariomycetes; Xylariales; Hypoxylaceae. RNAcentral also lists the same sequence under 1 other name. The record is from RNAcentral.
GGAGUCUUAGCUCAGUGGUAGAGCGAAGGAUUGCAGAUCCUUAGGUCGCCGGUUCGAUCCCGGCAGGCUCCU